This 254-nucleotide ribosomal RNA is filed under the name uncultured bacterium. Its description in RNAcentral is "partial 16S ribosomal RNA". It matches the Rfam family "Bacterial small subunit ribosomal RNA", at positions 524 to 776 of the family's 1533-position model. The record is from RNAcentral.
UACGAAGGGUGCAAACGUUGCUCGGAAUCAUUGGGCGUAAAGCGCACGUAGGCGGCUUGCCAAGUCGGAUGUGAAAGCCCUCGGCUCAACUGAGGAAGUGCACCCGAAACUGGCGAGCUUGAGUACGAAAGAGGAUCGCGGAAUUCCCGGUGUAGAGGUGAAAUUCGUAGAUAUCGGGGAGGAACACCGGUGGCGAAGGCGGCGAUCUGGGUCGAUACUGACGCUGAGGUGCGAAAGCGUGGGGAGCAAACAGG